UUUGGGAAACAUCCGCAGCCACAAACUUGAAUAUCAACAGGUGUUUUCUAGAAGUAGCGAUAGCUAUAAAAGAUGCGAACAUAUUUAUAAAGCAAAAACAAUCUUCUUGGUACUUGUAGCAGGAUGAUUCCAAUACCCCAAAUAAAACAAGAGCUGACUGUUAAGUUUAUUAACCUUUUCUAAUUCCCUUUUGUUUUUUUAUUUAAAAUUAUAACUGAUUAAGAUUUCUCUCGAAAUAAAUACAUACUUAACGUA
This is a long non-coding RNA of Drosophila ficusphila, 255 nucleotides long. RefSeq lists it as uncharacterized. The transcript has 2 exons. The record is from RefSeq and is a predicted model, not a curated record. Lineage: Eukaryota; Metazoa; Arthropoda; Insecta; Diptera; Drosophilidae.